GAUGCAUUUGACAUAUGUUUCAUGUUAUAGCCCAACAAGUUACUUACAGCAGUUUAAAUACGAGCAAUCAGUUUUUGGCAAAUACCGGAAAUCAGUUUUUGGCAGGCAAUCACUUUUUGGCACAACACCGGCGUCCGAGGAGCUGAUGGGAUACUCACGCCCACGGGCGUGGCUGUUAACUCUACACCUGCAUCUCAUCCCAGGCGAUUAUCAGGUGGACUAUUUGAUCCCGCUCAGCCUGCUGCUCCACGCCAGUCCGUAGUCGUCUCACAGCGAUAACAGCUUGGCGUGUUUUUUGAGCCACCUGCCUGUCCACCUGCCCGCCUGGAGUUUUUGAUCACCUUCAGUAUCCCUCACUUCGCCUUUCCUAGAGCUCCCCGCGGACCUUCACCCCUCCCUCCGGCUCUCACGGCCCCGCUUUGACUCCUCCCUCAGUCCCGUUUUCGGCGUUCCUUCGUGGCUCGUCUCCCGGUGCCUUGGUUUCUCUAUUUUCACGUGUGUUUUCCUUAACCCUCCCGGGACACCUUUAGUUAGAAUAAAGUUUAUUUUCUCGCAUUCCUGCAUGUGUGUUGGCUCU
Oreochromis niloticus (Nile tilapia) is the source of this 577-nucleotide long non-coding RNA. RefSeq lists it as uncharacterized. The transcript is spliced from 3 exons. Lineage: Eukaryota; Metazoa; Chordata; Actinopteri; Cichliformes; Cichlidae. The record is from RefSeq and is a predicted model, not a curated record.